GAUGAAGAACGUAGCGAAAUGCGAUAAGUAAUGUGAAUUGCAGAAUUCAGUGAAUCAUCGAAUCUUUGAACGCACAUUGCGCCCGCCAGUAUUCUGGCGGGCAUGCCUGUUCGAGCGUCAUUACAACCCUCAGGCCCCCGGGCCUGGCGUUGGGGAUCGGCGGAAGCCCCCUGCGGGCACAACGCCGUCCCCCAAAUACAGUGGCGGUCCCGCCGCAGCUUCCAUUGCGUAGUAGCUAACACCUCGCAACUGGAGAGCGGCGCGGCCACGCCGUAAAACAACCAACUUCUGAAUGUUGACCUCGAAUCAGGUAGGAAUACCCGCUGAACUUAAGCAUAUCAAUAAGCGGAGGA
This 353-nucleotide unclassified non-coding RNA is filed under the name soil metagenome. RNAcentral's name for it is "partial contains 5.8S ribosomal RNA, internal transcribed spacer 2, and large subunit ribosomal RNA". The stretch from base 1 to 120 matches the Rfam family "5.8S ribosomal RNA", at positions 35 to 154 of the family's 154-position model. The record is from RNAcentral.